RNAcentral lists this ribosomal RNA (408 nucleotides) under uncultured bacterium. RNAcentral's name for it is "partial 16S ribosomal RNA". It matches the Rfam family "Bacterial small subunit ribosomal RNA", at positions 28 to 526 of the family's 1533-position model. The record is from RNAcentral.
GACGAACGCUGGCGGCGUGCUUAACACAUGCAAGUCGAACGGAGUGGCGAACGGGUGAGUAACACGUGGGUGACCUGCCCUGCACUUCGGGAUAAGCAUGGGAAACUGGGUCUAAUACCGGAUAGUUGGGGAUGGGCUCGGGGCCUAUCAGCUUGUUGUUGGGGUGAUGGCCUACCAAGGCGGUGACGGGUAGCCGGCCUGAGAGUGUGGUCGGCCACAUGGGGACGGAGAUACGGCCCAGACUCCGACGGGAGGCAGCAGUGGGGGAUAUUGCACAAUGGGCGCAAGCCUGAUGCAGCGACGCCGCGUGAGGGAUGAAGGCUUUCGGGUUGUAAACCUCUUUCGGUACAGAACGGGUAUGUGCAGAAGAAGCGCCGGCUAACUACGUGCUAGCAGCCGCGGUAAUAC